This 468-nucleotide ribosomal RNA is filed under the name uncultured bacterium. RNAcentral's name for it is "partial 16S ribosomal RNA". It matches the Rfam family "Bacterial small subunit ribosomal RNA", at positions 28 to 507 of the family's 1533-position model. The record is from RNAcentral.
GACGAACGCUGGCGGCGUGCUUAACACAUGCAAGUCGAACGGAAAGGCCCUGCUUUUGUGGGGUGCUCGAGUGGCGAACGGGUGAGUAACACGUGAGUAACCUGCCCUUGACUUUGGGAUAACUUCAGGAAACUGGGGUUAAUACCGGAUGGGAGCUCCGCCUGCUGGGGGGGGGUGGGAAAUUUUCGGCGGUUGGGGUUGGAUUCGCGGCUUAUCAGCUUGUUGGUGGGGUAGUGGCUUACCAAGGCUUUGACGGGUAGCCGGCCUGAGAGGGUGACCGGCCACAUUGGGACUGAGAUACGGCCCAGACUCCUACGGGAGGCAGCAGUGGGGAAUAUUGCACAAUGGGCGGAAGCCUGAUGCAGCAACGCCGCGUGCGGGAUGACGGCCUUCGGGUUGUAAACCGCUUUCGCCUGUGACGAAGCGUGAGUGACGGUAAUGGGUAAAGAAGCACCGGCUAACUACGUG